RNAcentral lists this ribosomal RNA (66 nucleotides) under Pythium insidiosum. RNAcentral's name for it is "partial 5.8S ribosomal RNA". It matches the Rfam family "5.8S ribosomal RNA", at positions 92 to 154 of the family's 154-position model. Rfam says of the family: 5.8S ribosomal RNA (5.8S rRNA) is a component of the large subunit of the eukaryotic ribosome. The record is from RNAcentral. Lineage: Eukaryota; Oomycota; Peronosporomycetes; Pythiales; Pythiaceae.
UCGAAAUUUUGAACGCAUAUUGCACUUUCGGGUUAUGCCUGGAAGUAUGCCUGUAUCAGUGUCCGU